ACGGGUGAGUAACGCGUAUCCAACCUGCCUCUGACUAAGGGAUAACCCGUCGAAAGUCGGACUAAUACCUUAUGCAGUCGUCGGAGGUCAUCUGAUGACGACGAAAGAUUUCAUCGGUGAGAGAUGGGGAUGCGUCUGAUUAGCUUGUUGGCGGGGUAACGGCCCACCAAGGCGACGAUCAGUAGGGGUUCUGAGAGGAAGGUCCCCCACAUUGGAACUGAGACACGAUCCAAACUCCUACGGGAGGCAGCAGUGAGGAAUAUUGGUCAAUGGGCGUAAGCCUGAACCAGCCAAGUAGCGUGCAGGAUGACGGCCCUAUGGGUUGUAAACUGCUUUUAUGCGGGGAUAAAGUGAGGGACGUGUCCUUCAUUGCAGGUACCGCAUGAAUAAGGACCGGCUAAUUCCGUGCCAGCAGCCGCGGUAAUACGGAAGGUCCGGGCGUUAUCCGGAUUUAUUGGGUUUAAAGGGAGCGUAGGCCGUGGAUUAAGCGUGUUGUGAAAUGUAGACGCUCAACGUCUGACUUGCAGCGCGAACUGGUCCACUUGAGUGUGCACAACGCAGGCGGAAUUCGUCGUGUAGCGGUGAAAUGCUUAGAUAUGACGAAGAACCCCGAUUGCGAAGGCAGCUUGCGGGAGCACGACUGACGCUGAAGCUCGAAAGUGCGGGUAUCGAACAGGAUUAGAUACCCUGGUAGUCCG
Molecule: ribosomal RNA, 698 nt
Filed under: uncultured bacterium
Lineage: Bacteria
Description: bacterial SSU rRNA
Rfam family: Bacterial small subunit ribosomal RNA
Source: RNAcentral